CCCUUAGAUGUUCUGGGCGGCCCGCGCACUACAUUGGCACUCUCAAUAAGUUCCUAGAUCUAAAACUUUGGGGUAUUCUAUUAAGUGGUGUCGUGACUGGGAUUAACCCUUGCAAUUAUUGGUUACGAACGAGGAAUUCCUUGUAAUCGCGGUUUAUCAGCCCGCGUUGAGUGCGUCCCUGCCCUUUGUACACACCGCCCGUCGCUCCUACCGAUGAAUCGUCCGGUGAAGUUCAUGGAGUGGUGGUUGUUCCAGCUGCUGUCGAAGUGAAAUGGACCUCACGAUUUAGAGGAAGGAGAAGUCGUAACA
RNAcentral lists this ribosomal RNA (309 nucleotides) under uncultured eukaryote. RNAcentral's name for it is "partial 18S ribosomal RNA". It matches the Rfam family "Eukaryotic small subunit ribosomal RNA", at positions 1470 to 1796 of the family's 1831-position model. The record is from RNAcentral.